RNAcentral lists this transfer RNA (70 nucleotides) under Loxodonta africana (African savanna elephant). It matches the Rfam family "tRNA". Rfam says of the family: Transfer RNA (tRNA) molecules are approximately 80 nucleotides in length. Their secondary structure includes four short double-helical elements and three loops (D, anti-codon, and T loops). Lineage: Eukaryota; Metazoa; Chordata; Mammalia; Proboscidea; Elephantidae. The record is from Rfam by way of RNAcentral.
GCAGUGGUAGUUCAGUGGUAGGAUUCUUGCCUUCUGUGCGGGAAACCCAGGUCUAAUUCCAGCCAAUGCA